Meleagris gallopavo (turkey) is the source of this 2593-nucleotide non-coding RNA. NCBI's taxonomy places the organism in Eukaryota, Metazoa, Chordata, Aves, Galliformes, Phasianidae. The record is from RefSeq and is a predicted model, not a curated record.
GGAAGUAGCGUAGCGGGAGGGCGGAAGUGAGGGCGGCGGCCGGCAUGGCCAAGCAGUACGACAUGGUGGAGUGCCCGUUCUGCGAUGAGGUCUCCAAGUACGAGAAGCUCGCCAAAAUCGGGCAGGGAACCUUCGGGGAAGUGUUCAAAGCCAAGCACCGACAGACGGGCAAAAAGGUGGCGCUGAAGAAGGUGUUGAUGGAAAAUGAGAAGGAGGGGUUCCCCAUCACAGCUCUGCGAGAGAUUAAAAUCCUCCAGCUGCUCAAGCAUGAGAAUGUGGUGAACCUCAUAGAAAUCUGUAGGACCAAAGCCUCUCCAUACAACCGCUGCAAGGGAAGUAUCUACCUGGUGUUUGACUUCUGUGAGCACGACCUGGCUGGCCUUCUCAGCAACACCCACGUCAAGUUCACGCUCUCAGAGAUCAAGAAAGUUAUGCAGAUGCUAUUGAAUGGACUUUAUUACAUCCACAGGAACAAGAUCUUGCAUCGAGACAUGAAAGCUGCAAACGUUCUGAUCACGCGGGAUGGAGUCCUGAAGCUCGCAGACUUUGGGCUGGCUCGAGCUUUCAGCCUGGCUAAGAACAGCCAGCCAAAUCGCUACACCAACCGUGUUGUGACUCUGUGGUAUCGGCCACCAGAGCUGCUGCUAGGGGAGCGGGACUACGGGCCCCCCAUUGACCUGUGGGGUGGAGGCUGCAUCAUGGCAGAGAUGUGGACCCGCAGCCCCAUCAUGCAGGGGAACACGGAGCAGCACCAGCUCACCCUCAUUAGCCAGCUCUGCGGAUCCAUCACGCCAGAGGUCUGGCCGAAUGUGGAUAAGUAUGAGCUGUACCAGAAGCUGGAGCUCCCCAAGGGUCAGAAGCGCAAGGUGAAGGAUCGCCUGAAGGCCUACGUCAAGGACCCCUAUGCACUCGACCUCAUCGACAAGCUGCUGGUGCUGGACCCGGCCCAACGCAUCGACAGCGAUGAUGCGCUGAACCACGACUUCUUCUGGUCAGACCCCAUGCCCUCGGACCUCAAAAACAUGCUGUCCACCCACAACCAGUCCAUGUUCGAGUACCUGGCCCCGCCACGCAGGAGGGGUGGGCACAUGCCCCAGCAGCCAGCAAACCAGGGCAGGAACCCUGCGGCUACCAACCAGACUGAGUUUGACAGGGUGUUUUGAGCAGGGUCCUGGCUGGGCUGCUCUGCGGGAUGUGUUGAGCAGGGGUGUCUCAGCAUGGUCUCUCUCUCUGAUCAGGGACUUCCUUCAAGGCCAAGUGCCUGGUGGCUUUACCUGAGCUCUGCCCUCCCCUCUCCUUGUGCAGCAGCUCUGCCACCAAGGAGCUGCAGCAGGCAGCUGUGUGGUUGUGUGUGUGUGAGUGUGAGUGGGGAAGUGAUGCCUAUGAGCCUGCAGCUGUUUCCCUGUGGCUUUGGCACAGCCCGUGUCCCCACAGAGCAGUCCAUAUUGAUUAUGUUAAUCUUGUGAUUCGAUUGCUAUGGAUCUGAUGAUGGAGAAACUGGCUCCGUUAGCGUUGGGGCUUGCUGCGGGGAGCCCUGCUGGGAGCUGUCUGCAGCUCUCAUUUGGUGUUAGCUCCUGUACUGCAUGUCCUCUGAACGCCCAAGUGUUGGUGUAGGAUGCUGCAGAUGCUUCUGAGUAAUGUGGGGAAAGCAGAGUGGCUCCAGGCUUAAUGACCAACUCUUGCUCCAGCGUUGAAGGAGGCUUACUGGGCCGGCCACGCUGAUGGAACUGGUUGCUCCAUACAGCCAGGAUUUACAGUAGGAAUUAGCACUCAGUGUGCUUUCCUGGCUCUGGACUGCAAUUAAGUUCUUUGUGGGACACACCCAGACAGCUGCGUGCUUUCUCCCCGUAGUGCUAAUGAUGGAGCUGGAGUUGCUGUACUCAGGCUGUGCUCUGGCUUUCGCUUGGAAGCAGCCCCCUGUCCUUGUUUCACCAUGUUUCACAGCAUGGUUGUACUGGAGCUGCAAGGGCCGCUCUGCUUACAAACACUCCCGUGUGCACUCCUCUGUCCUGGAGCCAUUUGUGUGCAGUCUGGAGCAGGGCUGCUGCCUUCCCCACACCGGGCACUGCCGGAGCACUGGUGCAGAGCAAGAGUUCCUUCCCACCUUGUCUUCCAUGACUGACCUCCAGCUGGAGCUGGCUGCCUUUUCCCAAGCCACACGAAUCCCCAGACUUUCCAAUGAGCAACGUGUACAAAAUGCAGGGGGUUAUAACCUUUGCCAUUUGAUAAGUUGUCCGUUAACCAGGAGGAGCAGAGCAGCUCUGGGCGCACAGCAGUGGGCAUUGGACUGGUGUGAGAGCAGUGGGUGAGGAUGAUAAAGGACACCUAUAAGGAUGCCAUCCGCACGCUGAACACGCUGCAGACAAACGCCAGUUACCUGGAGCAGGUGAAGCGGGAACGCGGGGACCCCCGGGCCCAGCUGGAGGCCAUGCGGGGUUUUUUGGAGAGGAGCGGGCUGCAGGUCGAGGACCUGGAUCGUCUGAACAUCAUCCACGUCACGGGGACGAAGGGCAAGGGCUCAGCCUGUGCCUUCACCGAGCGCAUCCUGCGUGGCUAUGGGCUGCGGACUGGCUUCUACAGGUGGGCAGUGGGC